Molecule: ribosomal RNA, 503 nt
Filed under: uncultured Sphingobacterium sp.
Lineage: Bacteria; Pseudomonadati; Bacteroidota; Sphingobacteriia; Sphingobacteriales; Sphingobacteriaceae
Description: bacterial SSU rRNA
Rfam family: Bacterial small subunit ribosomal RNA
Source: RNAcentral
GAGUUUGAUCAUGGCUCAGGAUGAACGCUAGCGGCAGGCCUAAUACAUGCAAGUCGAGGGGCAGCAGGGAUAGCAAUAUUCGCUGGCGACCGGCGCACGGGUGCGUAACACGUAUACAAUCUGCCUUUAACGGGGGGAUAGCCCGGAGAAAUCCGGAUUAAUACCCCAUAACAGAUCGAAUGGCAUCAUUUGAUUUUGAAAGCUCCGGCGGUUAAAGAUGAGUAUGCGUCUGAUUAGCUAGUUGGUGAGGUAACGGCUCACCAAGGCGACGAUCAGUAGGGGAUCUGAGAGGAUUAACCCCCACACGGAUACUGAGACACGGAUCCGACUCCUACGGGAGCAGCAGUAAGGAAUAUUGGACAAUGCCCGCAAGGGUGAUCCAGCCAUGCCGCGUGCAGGAAGACGGCCCUAUGGGUUGUAAACUGCUUUUACACCGGAGAAAACCUUCCCUCGUGAGGGGAGCUGAUAGUAUGGUGAGAAUAAGCAUCGGCUAACUUCGUGCC